RNAcentral lists this long non-coding RNA (1150 nucleotides) under Rattus norvegicus (Norway rat). RNAcentral describes it as "long non-coding RNA NONRATT019513". The record is from RNAcentral. Lineage: Eukaryota; Metazoa; Chordata; Mammalia; Rodentia; Muridae.
GUAAUGAGUUAUGCACACAUCAUUAACAAUACUUUCUCUCAGAGCAUAUGAUGCUGUGAAGGUCAAACCUUUGGAUAUGAUGGGAAAAUUAAUUAAUGCCUCAUCACAUAUCCUUAGUGAACUUUCCACACAGGAGUCAUUUAUCAACCUUACUUCCUGGACAUAAGGUAUUUUAUGUCACUUUGUUAUAAAAAUGAAUAUAUCUGAAUGGUUUAUGGUUCUCUCUCUGACAAAGUGGCUAUUCUGGAAUAAUAAGUGAUAUAAAAGAAUUUUGUACCCCUUCACUUUCUCUUGGGACAGAUUAGUGAAAUCACUCAGAUUUAUUGAGAGUAAGUACUCAAAGAUAGUGCUAAGGCAUAGGACCUGCUGAUAGAUAACAUGUACUAUAGUGGAAGAAAUGGAUUAUUAAAGAGUAUUUGAUUAAAAGUCACAGUGUACUUAACCGUCGUUGCAACAGAUAUAGACAGAAACAGCACCAGUGCUCAUGGAGAAAACUGGACCCAGGAACCACAGCCUCCUUUCAAUAACCAUGAGUAUCAGGAUGAAGAGGAGACCCCACAUGCUACAAGCACAAGUAAGAAGGAUGAUGCACUGAAGUUCUGGUACCCAAGUUAUCAGAGAUGUUGUUUAGCUGUUGGCCACAUCCUUUGUGUCUGCACAGUAAAUUUAUCUGCAGAGCCUGAAAAGGACCAUUUUUAAAAAUAAGGAAGAAAGAUGCCAAGUUGUCAGAUUUUCCAAGAGACAAGAAUGUUUGCAAAGUAGAUGUGAGAUGCUGGUUUUCUGUUAAGGGUUCCUAAACUGUUCUGUUUUGGUAGUUGUUGUGUGCUUUUGGAAAUGUGUGUUGCGAGUGUGCCCUUCAGGUAUUUAGUGUGGGAUCUUGGAGGAAGGCUUCCUGAGUGGGCAGAUCUUUAAAACCUUCAUCUUCUCUGUGGUACAAUGGAACCCCUUCUGUCCUUGGUGGAAAGUCAGUGGCUCAUAUAGUCUCUUUUGAACUCUAAGCUACCUACUUCUUUUGUUUAAAAUACUCAGGGCAAGUUGAGAAAAGUCCUGAUGCUCCUACUGUUCUUUCUGCUUAUAGACAAAUAGCUCAAGUUUUUAAAAAAACAAUCUCAUGUUUCAUCAAUGGAUUGUGAACCUAGGAUAAGAAAAC